This 23-nucleotide non-coding RNA is filed under the name Arabidopsis thaliana (thale cress). Lineage: Eukaryota; Viridiplantae; Streptophyta; Magnoliopsida; Brassicales; Brassicaceae. RNAcentral also lists the same sequence under 1 other name. The record is from RNAcentral.
UGGAAUUACCGCGGCUGCUGGCA